UGUGUAGGCGGGUAUUUAAGUCAGUGGUGAAAUCUCCGGGCUCAACCCGGAAACUGCCAUUGAUACUAUAUAUCUUGAAUACUGUUGAGGUAGGCGGAAUAUGUCAUGUAGCGGUGAAAUGCAUAGAUAUGACAUAGAACACCAAUUGCGAAGGCAGCUUACUAAGCAGUUAUUGACGCUGAGGCACGAAAGCGUGGGGAUCAAACAGGAUUAGAUACCCUGGUAGUCCACGCCCUAAACGAUGAUUACUCGACAUACGCGAUACACAGUGUGUGUCUGAGCGAAAAGCAUUAAGUAAUCCACCUGGGAAGUACGACCGCAAGGUUGAA
This 329-nucleotide ribosomal RNA is filed under the name uncultured bacterium. Its description in RNAcentral is "bacterial SSU rRNA". It matches the Rfam family "Bacterial small subunit ribosomal RNA", at positions 568 to 898 of the family's 1533-position model. The record is from RNAcentral.